Molecule: non-coding RNA, 29 nt
Filed under: Mus musculus (house mouse)
Lineage: Eukaryota; Metazoa; Chordata; Mammalia; Rodentia; Muridae
Source: RNAcentral
GCCAGAUGGAUUGGAUUAGGUCAGAUACC